RNA transcript from Phacochoerus africanus (Common warthog), 2869 nucleotides. It is a transcript of the gene named syntaxin 1A, with no coding region annotated. The transcript is spliced from 9 exons. Lineage: Eukaryota; Metazoa; Chordata; Mammalia; Artiodactyla; Suidae. The record is from RefSeq and is a predicted model, not a curated record.
CUGUGGUGUAGGCUGCCGGCUGCAGCUCCAGCAAGGAGAGUUUCCCAGGCGAUCUGAGGGAUUAAGGCUGGCAUGUCACAGAGCGCCCCCCACAGGGUGGUAACUCCCAGACCUGCCUGGGUGCUGUGGGGAUGGCCUGUAUCUGAGCCAUCCUACCUUUUGGCAGGAGGGUGUUGGCAGUGCCCAGCCACCCCCCCCCCCCAUGGCCCUCCCCACAGAGGGAGAUAGGGAACUCCUGGCAGCCUGUCUUGGGCAGUGUCUGUGAGUUGUGGCCAGUGGCCUAGCCCCUGGAGGGCCUCCUCAGCAGCACCCUGCGGAGAGAGGACCCCAGGCCUAUGGGCCAGAGGAGGCAGCCGAGCAAGGGAAGGAGUACCCAGUGUGGAGGUGGACACUUACUUGGCUCUGUCACCAAACUGACUGGCAAGUCCUUGCUCCAUAAUCCUGCUGGGACCUCAGUGGUCCCCCAGGUCUCAGACGUGUCCCUGCCGAGGGGAUGGAGGGGCGGUGGUUGGGCCCUGGACCUGCUGUAUGUGGAUGCUGGGCAGUCCAGGGUCCCAGGCCCAGUGGGACCCAGUGGUCCUACCACCGUCUGCUCACGGCUGCACACCAUCCAUGCAGGCCAAGGACAGCGAUGAUGAUGAUGACGUCACUGUCACCGUGGACCGAGACCGCUUCAUGGAUGAGUUCUUCGAACAGGUGGAGGAGAUCCGCGGCUUCAUUGACAAGAUCGCGGAGAACGUGGAGGAGGUGAAGCGGAAGCACAGCGCCAUCCUGGCCUCCCCCAAUCCUGACGAGAAGACGAAGGAGGAGCUGGAGGAACUCAUGUCUGACAUAAAGAAGACGGCAAACAAAGUUCGCUCCAAGUUGAAGAGCAUCGAGCAGAGCAUCGAGCAGGAGGAAGGCCUGAACCGUUCUUCCGCUGACCUGAGAAUCCGAAAGACACAGCACUCCACGCUGUCCCGGAAGUUUGUGGAGGUGAUGUCCGAAUACAACGCCACCCAGUCUGACUACCGCGAACGCUGCAAGGGCCGCAUUCAGAGGCAGCUGGAGAUCACCGGCCGGACCACGACGAGCGAGGAGCUGGAAGACAUGCUGGAGAGCGGGAACCCGGCCAUCUUUGCCUCGGGGAUCAUCAUGGACUCCAGCAUCUCGAAGCAGGCCCUGAGCGAGAUUGAGACGCGCCACAGUGAGAUUAUCAAGCUGGAGAACAGCAUCCGGGAGCUGCACGACAUGUUCAUGGACAUGGCCAUGCUCGUGGAGAGCCAGGUUGCUUUCCCGAAAUCCUGCCCUGGGCCCCCUCCCAACCCUGAGGGGGCCCUCUGGAGCUCGGGUGCCCCUGGCCGCACAGGGGGAGAUGAUUGACAGGAUUGAGUACAACGUGGAACAUUCGGUGGACUACGUGGAGAGGGCAGUGUCGGACACCAAGAAGGCCGUCAAGUACCAGAGCAAGGCUCGCCGGAAGAAGAUCAUGAUCAUCAUCUGCUGUGUGGUCCUGGGCAUCGUCAUCGCCUCCACCUUUGGCGGCAUCUUUGGAUAGAAACCGCCCCCACCGGCCAUUCGCUCCGGAUGGUCCACCCCGAGGAGGUCCCCCUGGCAGCCACCAUCUUCUGGCUGGGGGCCCUCUCCUCCCUCCCCCAGACUGCUCCGUUCUCUGCCACAGGGGCCCCGUACCCACCCUGCCCUGAGCCGUCGUGUGCAUGAUCUUUGUGACAGUGUGCGUCUGUACAGAACAGGCAGGGGGGAGCCAGGCUGGGAAACCGCCAGCCGGGUGGGGCUGGGCCAGCAAGGGACAGACGCAGGCCCUGGCCCAGGCCUCCUUCACCGCUGGGCAGGGCUGCCCUGAGUGGUUAGCCACGCUGCCCUUCCCUGCCUCCCCUCUGGCCUGGGGCCUGCCCUCUCCUGGCAUCAGGGCUCUUGCCAGACCCCGACCUUGCCUCUUGCUGACCAGGCCAUCUGCCCCAUCCCGUGUCCUCUCCAGCUGUGCCCCUAAGCCGAGCCCCCUGAGGGCUGGGGACCAGCUGGCCACAUGGUGCUGCUUUUCGGGUUAGAGGAGGGGUGGCCCUGAGAGACAGCCCAGCUCUAAGCCUCUAACAGCUGAUCACUGCCAGGGAGGCUCAGGGUGCCGUGGCCAGGUGGCUUCUGGCCGUGUCAAGACCAGGCUUCCUCCCCUACCGUGGAGCAGUCCAGUAGGUCUUUGGCGGCCUUAGCCUCCCUUCCCACACUCCUGCAGCCCCAGGAGCAACCCCCUUGGGCUAUGCCUGACCCCGGGUCACAUUCUGCAAGGGGCUGACUGGUGCCUGGUCUGCAGCCGCUGUUGGAGCUAGUAAGGCAGAGCGGGCUCAGUCAGGCCUCUGUGCUGGUGAAGCCCACGGCCUGGGCCAGCCACUCUCCCCACAGGCCUCAGUCGGGUCCUCAAGCCAUUGUAUGUUGCAUGUUUGGGACAGUGGUCCCUGCUCUCUUGUGCUCGAGAAGUCGACGUUACUUCUGGCCUGCCAUCCUGUCCUGCCCUCGCUGCCCCCACUGAUGUGCCACGUGGGUGUCAGGUGUCUCAGACACAGUAUUCAGCAGCCACCAGGAGGAAACCUCCCUCUUCCCACCAUCUGGGGACUGAGGUCUGAAACAAGCCCCCACUCAAGACCCCUCUUCCUCGUUGACAGGCAAGGCGUGUGCCUGCGAGCGCAUGCAGUAGGGAGCGGCCAGCUCUGUGCCACUCCUUCCCUUGGCUUUGCUCCUGCCGGUGACGGUGACCACCGUCCGUGCUGCCUUCUUGAACAGCAACUCCCCUCCCCCCACCCCUCACCAAAGGUCUUGGUACAACCAGCGGCCCAUUUUGUGAAGUUUUUAUGUAGACUAAACAUUUGUAUCUGUA